UGACGUAGACCCGAAACCGGGCGACCUACCCAUGAGCAGGAUGAAGCGAAAGUAAAAUUUCGUGGAGGUCCGAACCCACGAGCGUUGAAAAGCUCGGGGAUGACUUGUGGGUAGCGGUGAAAUUCCAAUCGAGCCCGGAGAUAGCUGGUUCUCCCCGAAAUAGCUUUAGGGCUAGCCUCAAGGUGAGAGAUACGGAGGUAGAGCACUGAAUGUCCUAGGGGGUAUUGCACCUACCGAAGACUAUCAAACUCCGAAUGCCGUCAUCUUAUACUUGGGAGUCAGACUGUGGGUGAUAAGAUUCAUAGUCGAAAGGGCAACAGCCCAGAUCGUCAGCUAAGGUCCCUAAAUGUAAGUUAAGUGGUAAAGGAUGUGGGAUUGCACAGACAACCAGGAUGUUGGCUUAGAAGCAGCCACUCAUUCAAAGAGUGCGUAAUAGCUCACUGGUCGAGUGAUCCUGCGCCGAAGAUUUCCGGGGCUAAAACUUACUACCGAAGCUACGGCAUCAGUAAUGAUGGGUAGGGGAGCUUCCCAUACGGGUUGAAGCAUGACCGUAAGGACAUGUGGACAGUAUGGGAGUGAGAAUGUUGGCAUGAGUAGCGAGAUGUGGGUGAGAAUCCCACAGGCCGUAAACCCAAGGUUUCCAGGGGAAGGUUCGUCCGCCCUGGGUUAGUCGGGACCUAAGCUGAGGCCGAAAGGCGUAGGUGAUGGACAACAGGUUGAUAUUCCUGUACUACCGAUAACCGUUUGAGAGAAGGGAUGACACAGUAGGAUAAGCUAAGCACACUGUUGGUUAUGUGUGCCCAAGCAUUGAGGCAGUCAAAGUAGGCAAAUCCGCUUUGAUAAUGCUGGGAUGUGAUGGGGAGCGAAAUUUAGUAGCGAAGUAGCUGAUUUCACACUGUCAAGAAAAGUCUCUAUCGAGGUUAAAGGUACCCGUACCGCAAACCGACACAGGUGGGUGAGGAGAGUAUCCUAAGGCCAGCGAGAGAACUGUUGUUAAGGAACUCGGCAAAAUGACCCCGUAACUUAGGGAUAAGGGGUGCCACCAUCAGGUGGCCGCAGAGAAUAGGCCCAAGCGACUGUUUACCAAAAACAUAGGUUUCUGCUAAGUCGCAAGACGAUGUAUAGGAGCUGACGCCUGCCCGGUGCUGGAAGGUUAAGGGGAUCUGUUAGAG
RNAcentral lists this ribosomal RNA (1172 nucleotides) under Clostridioides difficile. RNAcentral describes it as "bacterial LSU rRNA". It matches the Rfam family "Bacterial large subunit ribosomal RNA", at positions 705 to 1895 of the family's 2925-position model. Lineage: Bacteria; Bacillati; Bacillota; Clostridia; Peptostreptococcales; Peptostreptococcaceae. The record is from RNAcentral.